AAGGGGACCACAAGAACGGGAGGGGCUGGCUUAAUUUGACUCAACGCGGGAAAACUUACGGGACCGAACACACUGAGGAUUGACAGGCGAUAAAUUAUGCUAGUCCUUUCAUGAUUGUGUGAUAGGGGGGGCUUGUCCCGUUCUUAGUUCGUGGAGUGAUCUGUCUGCUUAAUUGCGUUUCAAAUAAAAAGUGCCGAUCGCUCUGUGAGGAAUGUUGUCUACGGGCACUUAUCGCGCAGGCACGGGCCUUUGAAGGCAACGAACGUGACCG
This 271-nucleotide ribosomal RNA is filed under the name Foraminifera environmental sample. RNAcentral describes it as "partial small subunit ribosomal RNA". It matches the Rfam family "Eukaryotic small subunit ribosomal RNA", at positions 1160 to 1343 of the family's 1831-position model. Lineage: Eukaryota; Foraminifera. The record is from RNAcentral.